Molecule: ribosomal RNA, 1175 nt
Filed under: Salmonella enterica subsp. enterica serovar Derby
Lineage: Bacteria; Pseudomonadati; Pseudomonadota; Gammaproteobacteria; Enterobacterales; Enterobacteriaceae
Also listed under: 1 other name
Description: partial 23S ribosomal RNA
Rfam family: Bacterial large subunit ribosomal RNA
Source: RNAcentral
GGGCGUUAAGUUGCAGGGUAUAGACCCGAAACCCGGUGAUCUAGCCAUGGGCAGGUUGAAGGUUGGGUAACACUAACUGGAGGACCGAACCGACUAAUGUUGAAAAAUUAGCGGAUGACCUGUGGCUGGGGGUGAAAGGCCAAUCAAACCGGGAGAUAGCUGGUUCUCCCCGAAAGCUAUUUAGGUAGCGCCUCGUGAAUUCAUCUCCGGGGGUAGAGCACUGUUUCGGCUAGGGGGCCAUCCCGGCUUACCAACCCGAUGCAAACUGCGAAUACCGGAGAAUGUUAUCACGGGAGACACACGGCGGGUGCUAACGUCCGUCGUGAAGAGGGAAACAACCCAGACCGCCAGCUAAGGUCCCAAAGUCAUGGUUAAGUGGGAAACGAUGUGGGAAGGCCCAGACAGCCAGGAUGUUGGCUUAGAAGCAGCCAUCAUUUAAAGAAAGCGUAAUAGCUCACUGGUCGAGUCGGCCUGCGCGGAAGAUGUAACGGGGCUAAACCAUGCACCGAAGCUGCGGCAGCGAACGUAUCACCCAAGACAACUUUACGGAGUUGACGAUUGACGGAGCGAAGCGACGUCAAAGCGUUCAUUAAAGUCGAGUUGGCUUAGGGAUACGUUCGUUGGGUAGGGGAGCGUUCUGUAAGCCUGUGAAGGUGGCCUGUGAGGGUUGCUGGAGGUAUCAGAAGUGCGAAUGCUGACAUAAGUAACGAUAAAGCGGGUGAAAAGCCCGCUCGCCGGAAGACCAAGGGUUCCUGUCCAACGUUAAUCGGGGCAGGGUGAGUCGACCCCUAAGGCGAGGCCGAAAGGCGUAGUCGAUGGGAAACGGGUUAAUAUUCCCGUACUUGGUGUUACUGCGAAGGGGGGACGGAGAAGGCUAUGUUGGCCGGGCGACGGUUGUCCCGGUUUAAGCGUGUAGGUGUGUGUUCCAGGUAAAUCCGGUUCACUUUAACACUGAGGCGUGAUGACGAGGCACUACGGUGCUGAAGCAACAAAUGCCCUGCUUCCAGGAAAAGCCUCUAAGCAUCAGGUAACAUCAAAUCGUACCCCAAACCGACACAGGUGGUCAGGUAGAGAAUACCAAGGCGCUUGAGAGAACUCGGGUGAAGGAACUAGGCAAAAUGGUGCCGUAACUUCGGGAGAAGGCACGCUGACACGUAGGUGAAGUGAUUUACUCA